Molecule: ribosomal RNA, 253 nt
Filed under: uncultured bacterium
Lineage: Bacteria
Description: partial 16S ribosomal RNA
Rfam family: Bacterial small subunit ribosomal RNA
Source: RNAcentral
UACAGAGGUCCCAAGCGUUGUUCGGAUUCAUUGGGCGUAAAGGGUGCGUAGGUGGUGCUGUAAGUCAGGUGUGAAAUCUCGGGGCUCAACCCCGAAACUGCACUUGAUACUGCAGUGCUGGAGGACUGGAGAGGAGAUCGGAAUUCAUGGUGUAGCAGUGAAAUGCGUAGAGAUCAUGAGGAAGACCAGUGGCGAAGGCGGGUCUCUGGACAGUUCCUGACACUGAGGCACGAAGGCCAGGGGAGCAAACGGG